Molecule: unclassified non-coding RNA, 2155 nt
Filed under: Hevea brasiliensis (rubber tree)
Lineage: Eukaryota; Viridiplantae; Streptophyta; Magnoliopsida; Malpighiales; Euphorbiaceae
Source: RNAcentral
CACCAAACGAAUGACUCCAAACUCAAACUGGCAAUUUAUAUUAGCUUAUAAAUGCAAAUCCAGACAAAACAUACAAACUCGCAGAGAGACUAAGAAACCCAACCGAUGACUAGUGGUAGGACAAUCCAACGAGAAAUCAUUGAGCGACACAAAACACAGAAAUGCAGGCCCAAUGUUCCCCUCUUAUUUCAAGUCCGGGCAGAGACCAAUAAUACCACCAACCUUAUUCCAUGAAGGAAGAACUGACACUGUAAAACUGUAAACACACCCAGUAAAGAACUCUUAAGUAGUCACUCAUCUUCUGAUUCAGACUCGGCAUUCUGAAGCCAUUCAACAAAAGGCUUGACAUUCUUCCAGACUGGUGAGCUUUUGUUAGCACCGCUUAAACCCUUCUGGUACCACUCUAGGAUAAACUCCUCUUCCAGCACAUCAUAGUCAUACAGUACUUUAACAGCCAAUGGUACCUCUUUAACUGCCUCAGGGCUUGCGUUACCACAGAAAAACUCAAGGGCAUGCAACAGAAGCAUCUGUGAUCCCUCCUCUUGAGUUGCUGCUGCCAGGUAGUUCCUUUUUUUAGUCACCUCCUUGGCAAACCCUUUUUCAACACCUCCAAAGAGAGCAGCAAACAGCGCAUUAAUGACUUCUUGAGGUGUCCCAGAGAGAGAACUCAAGAACGACUUCAGCUGGCUUGCAGGACCACCCUUUUUCAGAUAUCCAUUUAUUUCAUUAACAAGGCCUUCUAGGGGGUCAUUGCUCUUAGAGCCAUUCUGGUGAGCCUUAACCUCUCGUUCUGGAGACUUUUUUGCUGACUUUGCCUUGUCUUCAUUUGUGGAUAGCAUUACCAUAUCUGCAGUAACAGCACUCAAUUGCUCUUGGAUGCGUUGUUUAGCUGCCUCCAAAGAAGUAUCUGUUUGCCACUGGAUAUCAUCAUCACCGUCAUCUUCAUCAUCAGCAAUCAAUUGGUCAUUUUCAUCAGCCUGGCUGUGAGCUGGCGAGUGAUCCUCAUCUGAGCCAUUGCCUUUCUUCUUUGAUGACGUACCUUUAGCACCAUCCCUAGAACUACCAGAGGUGCCUUUCUUCUUUGUUGUCUCCUUUUUGUUCUUCUUCUGCUCCUCAUCGGCAGCCUCACCCUCCUUGAGCCGUUCCUUCUCAGCCCUCCUCAUUGCUUUCUUGUCUUUAGAUCCCUUUUUUGGCUCAGGUGGGUUCUUGAGAAUAAAUGUUGUAAGCUUAUCCCUCAUAUCAACAUCAGAAACAAAUCCACAGGCAGCACACUUCAAGGUAAUCAUUUGUGUCUUGGUUAUAACUACCUCAGUUUCAGGGUUCCCACAGCCAUAGCAUUGAACAUACUUCUUGAUGAAGUUUUCAAGCAGCCCAGCAAGUUUUGCAGUGUCAUGGGCUCCAUUCACAAGUGAAGUUCCGGUCCUCUCAUCAAACUUGGAUUGGGCUCCAAGCUCAUUACCAAAGUACUUCGUCGUGUAGGAAGCAGGUCUAGCCAAGGCCUUAGCAAUCUCAACCAUGUUAACAACGUUAGUUUUGAUUCCAUUUCCCCUACCUUCAAUCUUGGUUAUCAUUUUUGGCAUCUUAUACCUGUAAAAGGCAUCAUCACUGUUGGAAGCACCAAUAUUUUGCAAUGCCAUCUUGUUGGUACUGAUGGAGAGACCAGUAUCACGUUAAUCAGAAGUGACAAAAAUCAGCAGCAGUAUGCUCUCUAAUAAUAGAAAAUUCUCCUUUAGCAGGCACGUUCCUAGCAGAAGGGAAAGGACGCAUAAACUGGCAACCUAUAUAGUCUGUGCAAUGGCCCUCAAAAAACCCAAGAUGCAUGCAGCCAACCUUAGUUGCAGAACUUCUGAUCUUUUUUCUAGACGUAGGACAGUACUCUCCAAGUAAUCCAAUUGAUGACAAAAAGAGAGAGGCCCGCUCAGACAUAAAAAAAGCUUCAAACUUGACGAACUCCACUUUUGAUGAACUGCAGAUGAAGCAGACAAAACUGCCAACUUCCUUAUAAUGAAGAAAAUAGAGGGGCUAGAGAUGGAUGGGUCUCUAUUGUAAACGUCCGCGUGAGAGAUUGUGGGAUGAAUUGGGGGAGAGCAAGGCUUUUAUAUACGCCAAGGAGGUAGAGAGAGAGUGUAGGUUUCUAGGGCAAACUCAGCCUCCU